This 325-nucleotide ribosomal RNA is filed under the name uncultured eukaryote. RNAcentral's name for it is "partial 18S ribosomal RNA". It matches the Rfam family "Eukaryotic small subunit ribosomal RNA", at positions 1470 to 1796 of the family's 1831-position model. The record is from RNAcentral.
CCCUUAGAUGUUCUGGGCCGCACGCGUGCUACACUGAGUGGAUCAGCGGGUCAGGUUGCGCGAAAGUGUUUCCUAAUCUUUAAAUCCGCUCGUGAUGGGGAUUGACGGUUGCAAUUUUCCGUCAUGAACGAGGAAUACCUUGUAAGCGCGGGUCAUCAUCCCGCGCUGAAUACGUCCCUGCCCUUUGUACACACCGCCCGUCGCUACUACCGAUUGAAUGGUUUAGUGAGGACUCCUGAUUGGCGCCGCCGCCCCGGCAACGGAGCAGCGGACUGCCGAAAAGUUGUUCAAACUUGAUCAUUUAGAGGAAGUAAAAGUCGUAACA